RNAcentral lists this unclassified non-coding RNA (391 nucleotides) under soil metagenome. RNAcentral's name for it is "partial contains 5.8S ribosomal RNA, internal transcribed spacer 2, and large subunit ribosomal RNA". The stretch from base 1 to 122 matches the Rfam family "5.8S ribosomal RNA", at positions 35 to 154 of the family's 154-position model. The record is from RNAcentral.
GAUGAAGAACGCAGCGAAAUGCGAUACUUGGUGUGAAUUGCAGAAUCCCGUGAACCAUCGAGUCUUUGAACGCAAGUUGCGCCCGAAGCCAUUAGGCCGAGGGCACGCCUGCCUGGGCGUCACACGUCGUUGCCCCCCCAUCUACUCCUUCGGGAUUGCGGGGGGCGGAUGAUGGCCUCCCGUGCGCCUCGCCGCGCGGUUGGCAUAAAUGCCAAGUCCUCGGCGACGCACGCCACGACAAUCGGUGGUUGCGAAACCUCGGUUGCCCAUCGUGUGCGGUCGUCGCGCAUCGAGGGCUCGAAAAAAUUGCCGGGUUCCGGCUCGGCUUUCAACGCGACCCCAGGUCAGGCGGGGUUACCCGCUGAAUUUAAGCAUAUCAAUAAGCGGAGGA